This 373-nucleotide ribosomal RNA is filed under the name uncultured organism. RNAcentral describes it as "partial 16S ribosomal RNA". It matches the Rfam family "Bacterial small subunit ribosomal RNA", at positions 527 to 897 of the family's 1533-position model. The record is from RNAcentral.
GUAGGGUCCAAGCGUUAAUCGGGAAUUACUGGGGCGUAAAGCGUGCGCAGGCGGUUGUGCAAGACCGAUGUGAAAUCCCCGGGGCUUAACCUGGGAAUUGCAUUGGUGACUGCACGGCUAGAGUGUGUCAGAGGGGGGUAGAAUUCCACGUGUAGCAGUGAAAUGCGUAGAGAUGUGGAGGAAUACCGAUGGCGAAGGCAGCCCCCUGGGAUAACACUGACGCUCAUGCACGAAAGCGUGGGGAGCAAACAGGAUUAGAUACCCUGGUAGUCCACGCCCUAAACGAUGUCAACUAGUUGUUGGGGAUUCAUUUCCUUAGUAACGUAGCUAACGCGUGAAGUUGACCGCCUGGGGGUACGGUCGCAAAGAUUAA